AGAUUGAACGCUGGCGGCAUGCCUAACACAUGCAAGUCGAACGGGAGUAGCAAUACUCUAGUGGCGGACGGGGUGAGGAAUACGUAGGAAUUUGCCCUUAAGUGGGGGAUAACCCGGGAAACCCGGAUUAAUACCGCAUGACCUCGAAAGAGCAAAGUGGGGGAUCGCAAGACCUCACGCCUUUGGAGAAGCCUACGUCGGAUUAGCUAGUUGGUGAGGUAAUGGCUCACCGAAGGCGACGAUCCGUAACUGGUCUGAGAGGAUGAUCAGUCACACCGGACUGAGACACGGUCCGACUCCGUACGGGAGGCAGCAGGUGGGAAUAGUUGGAACAAGUGGGCGCAAGCCUGAUCCAGCAACGUCG
RNAcentral lists this ribosomal RNA (364 nucleotides) under uncultured soil bacterium. Its description in RNAcentral is "bacterial SSU rRNA". It matches the Rfam family "Bacterial small subunit ribosomal RNA", at positions 26 to 399 of the family's 1533-position model. The record is from RNAcentral.